GAUUAACGCAGGCGGCGUGCAUAACACAUGCAAAGUCGAACGAUGAAACUUUUUUGAUUUCUUCGGAAUGAUUAAAAAGUGGAUUAGUGGCGGACGGGUGAGUAACGCGUGAGUAACCUGCCUUAGAGAAGGGGAUAGCCUUUGGAAACGAAGAAUAAUACCCUAUGAAACCAUAACCUCGCAUGAGGCCUUGGUCAAAGAUUUAUCGCUCUAAGAUGGACUUGCGUCUGAUUAGUUAGUUGGUGGGGUAACGGCCCACCAAGACAGCGAUCAGUAGCCGGCUUGAGAGAGUGUACGGCCACAUUGGGACUGAGACACGGCCCAGACUCCUACGGGAGGCAGCAGUGGGGAAUUUUGCACAAUGGGGGAAACCCUGAUGCAGCGACGCCGCGUGAUUUAGAAGGCCUUCGGGUUGUAAAAAUCUUUUCUAUGGGAAGAAAAUGACAGUACCAUAGGAAUAAGGACCGGCUAAUUACGUGCCAGCAGCCGCGGUAAUACGUAAGGUCCGAGCGUUGUCCGGAAUCAUUGGGCGUAAAGGGUACGUAGGCGGGUAAGCAAGUUAGAAGUGAAAUCCUAUAGCUCAACUAUAGUAAGCUUUUAAAACUGCUCAUCUUGAGGUAUGGAAGGGAAAGUGGAAUUCCUAGUGUAGCGGUGAAAUGCGCAGAUAUUAGGAGGAAUACCGGUGGCGAAGGCGACUUUCUGGCCAUAACCUGACGCUGAGGUACGAAAGCGUGGGUAGCAAACAGG
Molecule: ribosomal RNA, 747 nt
Filed under: uncultured Anaerococcus sp.
Lineage: Bacteria; Bacillati; Bacillota; Tissierellia; Tissierellales; Peptoniphilaceae
Description: bacterial SSU rRNA
Rfam family: Bacterial small subunit ribosomal RNA
Source: RNAcentral